GCGAGCGGCGGAUGGGUGAGUAACACGUGGGGAACCUGCCCCUAAGUCUGGGAUACCAUUUGGAAACAGGUGCUAAUACCGGAUAAUAAAGCAGAUCGCAUGAUCAGCUUUUGAAAGGCGGCGUAAGCUGUCGCUAAGGGAUGGCCCCGCGGUGCAUUAGCUAGUUGGUAAGGUAACGGCUUACCAAGGCGACGAUGCAUAGCCGAGUUGAGAGACUGAUCGGCCACAUUGGGACUGAGACACGGCCCAAACUCCUACGGGAGGCAGCAGUAGGGAAUCUUCCACAAUGGACGCAAGUCUGAUGGAGCAACGCCGCGUGAGUGAAGAAGGUUUUCGGAUCGUAAAGCUCUGUUGUUGGUGAAGAAGGAUAGAGGUAGUAACUGGCCUUUAUUUGACGGUAAUCAACCAGAAAGUCACGGCUAACUACGUGCCAGCAGCCGCGGUAAUACGUAGGUGGCAAGCGUUGUCCGGAUUUAUUGGGCGUAAAGCGAGCGCAGGCGGAAAAAUAAGUCUAAUGUGAAAGCCCUCGGCUUAACCGAGGAACUGCAUCGGAAAACUGUUUUUCUUGAGUGCAGAAGAGGAGAGUGGAACUCCUUGUGUAGCGGGUGGAAUGC
This 614-nucleotide ribosomal RNA is filed under the name uncultured bacterium. RNAcentral describes it as "bacterial SSU rRNA". It matches the Rfam family "Bacterial small subunit ribosomal RNA", at positions 91 to 689 of the family's 1533-position model. The record is from RNAcentral.